This 438-nucleotide ribosomal RNA is filed under the name Triticum aestivum (bread wheat). Its description in RNAcentral is "partial small subunit ribosomal RNA". Lineage: Eukaryota; Viridiplantae; Streptophyta; Magnoliopsida; Poales; Poaceae. The record is from RNAcentral.
AUGGCACCCAAGGCGGCGGAGAAGAAGCCGGUGGCGGUGGCCGCGGAGAAGACGGCGGCGGGGAAGAAGCCCAAGGCGGAGAAGCGGGCGGCGGCGACCAAGGAGGCCGGCGGCGAGGGGAAGACGAGGGGCCGGAAGAAGGGCAGCAAGGCCAAGAAGGGCGUGGAGACGUACAAGAUCUACAUCUUCAAGGUGCUCAAGCAGGUGCACCCGGACGUCGGCAUCUCCUCCAAGGCCAUGUCCAUCAUGAACUCCUUCAUCAACGACAUCUUCGAGAAGCUCGCCGGCGAGUCCGCCAAGCUGGCGCGAUACAACAAGAAGCCCACCAUCACGUCCCGGGAGAUCCAGACCUCCGUCCGCCUCGUCCUCCCCGGCGAGCUCGCCAAGCACGCCGUCUCCGAGGGCACCAAGGCCGUCACCAAGUUCACAUCAUCAUAG